UGAUUGCUGGCACAGCAAGGGACU
Molecule: non-coding RNA, 24 nt
Filed under: Cricetulus griseus (Chinese hamster)
Lineage: Eukaryota; Metazoa; Chordata; Mammalia; Rodentia; Cricetidae
Source: RNAcentral